UGGACCGGCCCAAAGACUAAUCAU
RNAcentral lists this non-coding RNA (24 nucleotides) under Arabidopsis thaliana (thale cress). The record is from RNAcentral. Lineage: Eukaryota; Viridiplantae; Streptophyta; Magnoliopsida; Brassicales; Brassicaceae.